UAACGCGAAGAACCUUACCAAGGCUUGACAUGAACCGGAAAGACCUGGAAACAGGUGCCCCGCUUGCGGUCGGUUUACAGGUGGUGCAUGGUUGUCGUCAGCUCGUGUCGUGAGAUGUUGGGUUAAGUCCCGCAACGAGCGCAACCCUCGUUCUAUGUUGCCAGCACGUGAUGGUGGGGACUCAUAGGAGACUGCCGGGGUCAACUCGGAGGAAGGUGGGGACGACGUCAAAUCAUCAUGCCCCUUAUGUCUUGGGCUUCACGCAUGCUACAAUGGCCGGUACAAAGGGUUGCGAUACUGUGAGGUGGAGCUAAUCCCAAAAAGCCGGUCUCAGUUCGGAUUGGGGUCUGCAACUCGACCCCAUGAAGUCGGAGUCGCUAGUAAUCGCAGAUCAGCAACGCUGCGGUGAAUACGUUCCCGGGUCUUGUACACACCGA
This 437-nucleotide ribosomal RNA is filed under the name uncultured bacterium. Its description in RNAcentral is "bacterial SSU rRNA". It matches the Rfam family "Bacterial small subunit ribosomal RNA", at positions 957 to 1393 of the family's 1533-position model. The record is from RNAcentral.